RNAcentral lists this ribosomal RNA (771 nucleotides) under uncultured bacterium. RNAcentral's name for it is "bacterial SSU rRNA". It matches the Rfam family "Bacterial small subunit ribosomal RNA", at positions 8 to 796 of the family's 1533-position model. The record is from RNAcentral.
AGAGUUUGAUCCUGGCUCAGGACGAACGCUGGCGGCGUGCUUAACACAUGCAAGUCGAACGGAAAGGCCCUUCGGGGUACUCGAGUGGCGAACGGGUGAGUAACACGUGGGUGAUCUGCCCUGCACUUUGGGAUAAGCCUGGGAAACUGGGUCUAAUACCGAAUAUGACCAUGCACUUCCUGGUGUGUGGUGGAAAGCUUUUGCGGUGUGGGAUGGGCCCGCGGCCUAUCAGCUUGUUGGUGGGGUAAUGGCCUACCAAGGCGACGACGGGUAGCCGGCCUGAGAGGGUGACCGGCCACACUGGGACUGAGAUACGGCCCAGACUCCUACGGGAGGCAGCAGUGGGGAAUAUUGCACAAUGGGCGCAAGCCUGAUGCAGCGACGCCGCGUGAGGGAUGACGGCCUUCGGGUUGUAAACCUCUUUCAGCACAGACGAAGCGCAAGUGACGGUAUGUGCAGAAGAAGGACCGGCCAACUACGUGCCAGCAGCCGCGGUAAUACGUAGGGUCCGAGCGUUGUCCGGAAUUACUGGGCGUAAAGAGCUCGUAGGUGGUUUGUCGCGUUGUUCGUGAAAACUCACAGCUUAACUGUGGGCGUGCGGGCGAUACGGGCAGACUUGAGUACUGCAGGGGAGACUGGAAUUCCUGGUGUAGCGGUGGAAUGCGUAGAUAUGUGGAGGAACACCAAUGGCGAAGGCAGCCCCCUGGGAUAACACUGACGCUCAUGCACGAAAGCGUGGGGAGCAAACAGGAUUAGAUACCCCGGUAGUCC